This 3155-nucleotide long non-coding RNA is filed under the name Oryza sativa (Asian cultivated rice). Its description in RNAcentral is "long non-coding RNA (OSAT_LNC000675)". The record is from RNAcentral. Lineage: Eukaryota; Viridiplantae; Streptophyta; Magnoliopsida; Poales; Poaceae.
CCACUACGAAUUUUUUAAGUAGUAAAGAAAUAGAGCGAUAAAAGAAUUCACAUGAUCUUGUUAACGAUGUUGGUGUGGAGCCCCCAAUAUUGGUAUCCAUGUCUUAAUGUGUGUAAGCCAGCUAAACAAUCCUCACAGCAUGCUUCACAUAAAGAGUAAUAAAAGGUUAGCUACAUUUGAAGUGUUUUGCCACACUGAGUUCCAAAUCAAUUUUUGGCCAUGUACACAUAAAAUUUGCUUUUCCAUAUAUGUAUGAGGGCCAGAUAAAAUAAUCAAGUGUCUCAACAGCAGUAUGUUUUUUAGAGUAUGAUUAACAUUAUGGUUUUUAGAGCAUGAUAAUUGCAACAAUUAAAUAAUUGCCAACUUUUUGGGCUGCAUGAGUGUCUAGACUGAAUCCAAUCUUAAGCAAAAGGGUAAGCAAUUUUCCCUUGCUAAAGUAAAAUUUUUCCAUUAGAAAUUACUGAGGGAAUCGAUUUCAUAAUUGCCUGCAAAUUGCUUUAAAAAUAAAAAGGGUGGUCAGAUGCCAUUCCUUUUAUGAACAUUUCCUUUUUUUUUCUCCUUCCCUGAUAGCACAUAUGUGUUUUCUUUAUGAGAUUCCCUUGAAAAUGAGAACGUAAAAUGAUCUAGAUAUAACCAAAAUACCCAUCCAAACAUGCCAAAAAGAAAAUGAAAUAUUAAAGAUUCCUAAGCUCGAAGAAUCUACUCACUGAUAACGUAGGAUAAAAAAAAAACUCACAGGUGUAACUAUAAUGGUAUAUCAGUGACCAAUCCCAGAGAAAAGAGACGUGAACUUCACCCACGAUAUACAUGUAUGGAUGCACCUUAGCAUAGCAUAGUGAAUCAGUACAGGUUGUGCUUAGGUAUUUACUGAAAAUCCUUAAUAUUAUCAACAAUAUACAUGUUGUUACAAGCAUUUCUCUUAGCAAUUCAGUGUACGAACUGUAGUUCACAUCCUUGUUCAUUUCGUUAUAUCAAGCAAGAAAUUUGUGAACGAAAAAGGAAGUUAACGCUAUUUUAUAAAUUCAGAUAAAUGAUCGAUUUGACAUGUUCAGAGUAACAGUUUACUCUAGUUUGAUACACUUCAUUGGAAAAAAAAAGAUCCAAUGAUCAUGAAGACAAUAACCAAUUUAAAAUCUUACUGCUUGCACAUAAUUUUACAAGGAAAAUAAGAGCAAUUCUAUAUUAUCAGGAAAUGGAUUGAAUACCAAUGGCAUUAAUAUGACACAUAAACUGUUGCAAGCUUCAGUUAUGAUGUCAGUAAUAGAAGGGAAUGAACCUUCAGGAUCAGGGCUCUCAGGAUGAGCAAGGAAAAACACCGUCUAGGCAAGCUUGUUCAAGCACUCCUUAAUCAGCACGAUCAACAAGUUGCAUUUUUUUCUAAGACUUUAGUCCAAUUGAGGAUAGAUCAAGAAGAGGAAGGAGCUCGCAUUGUACCAGGGCAGAGAGGACUGCCGACGCUGAUAUUGUAGGACUGACUGUGGCGCUCGGAAUCAUUUGUAAUCAUAAGCAAAUUAAUAAGCUACGUGGAUGUGGUUGUUGUAAUUUAUUUGGAGUAAUCAGUUUAAUUUAAUCACAGACACAUUGUGAAAUUACACGUUUUUUGGAUGCCCUAUAGCAAAUUUUGCUAUCUAGAAUAGAAACUGAAUGACUGAGACGUGAAUCCUAACAGCCCACACAACUCCCUUGUUACGAAGUAUUCGGCACAUGACAUCAGCACAAAGAGAAAUCUGCUUGUAUGUCCAAGGUACUGUAGGUUCAAAGAAAGAAAUUCUUGACUGGAUGUCUACAAUUUAACCCUUUGCAUGGUGCAGUAGAAAUGUUUAUAGACCAUUUAGCGAAGAUUGAUCCAUGCAGGAGACAUUUGCACUAUUUGUAAGGGGUAAUCAUGAUGGAAGGAAAUUACCUUUACCAAACAGAAAUUUAGUAGAAUCAGCCAAAAAUCUCCUUGAUUGUGCAGUAAACAAUAGCAAUUGGCAUGGUGUCCAGUCAGCUUUGCUUCGACAAUCUGAACUUUUUUUCCCUACAUAUUAAAUAAUUUGAUAUCAAAGGUUAAGUCAGUUUGCGAGAUAUAAGUUUUUUUUUUUUUUAAAAAAAGAAGUGUACCAUCACUUCAGAGACAACUGUGAUAGUUAAUCUACAUACAAAAUUAAGUUUGAGGGACACAGAACUGAGUAUGAAUGCUUAGCACUUCGAUCAGACUCCACAACACACUAUACACACUUAAGUUGACAGAAUUGCAUCUCCUAUAGGAUUUGCAGAAAAAACAGAGGAAUGAAUGUAUAGCACCUGCAGAUUGGUGUAUUCUCAAAUGAUCCUACAGGUAAAUCACAGGAGGCCUCUCAUCUGCAUGACAGAAGAGAUAGAUUGCUUUUAGUAAGUAAACUGAAUAAUAAUUUUUUAACACCACAAAUUGCAAAAUACAGGAUUGGUCCAAUCACUUGGAUGGUCAACAAAUGAGAAAACUGCAUGCCAGAUGGAUACCUUGUUGAUCUAACCACAAUAUAGAGCACUCAAGAAAUCUAGAACGCUGCUCGAUGAAAUGUGUAUGUGCUGCCAACCAGACCUAGCAACUCCUACUUACUUCUAGGUCGUCGGCGACGCGGGCGCGGGUGUUCCAGAGGUGGCACGGAGGAGAUUGGUGGGGUGGCCCUCGCUGGCGACGCGGAUGGGAGAGAUCGGCGUGGGCGGAGCAGAUUGGUGAGGGAGUACCGACGGUGGCACGGAGGAGAUCGGCACGGUCGGAGCAAAUCGGUGGAGAGAUCGGCUCGGGCGAAGGAGAUCGGAGGACGACGACCCUGGCAACUCCUGUUCAGCCGUGGUGGAAGACGGCGAUGGCGGCGACGAGGACGGCGGGGGCGAUCGAUGGCGGCGGCAGUGGGGGAGCGAUCUGGUGGAGGACGGCGUGGGCGGCGGGGAGGAUCGAUGGCGGCGGCAGCGCGGGACGGUGGGGGAGGACGGUGGGACGGCGGGGAGGAACAGCUAGUCGAGGAGGACGGCGAGGGCGAGCGGGCGAGAGGAAGGACGGCGAAAAGCGAGCGGGCGCGCGGAAGCCGGAAAGCCAGGGCGGAGAGAAGCGGAUGCAGCGCGAUUGGAGCGCGAUGGUGUGGACGGAUAGGAGCGUUUGGAGCGUCGAUUUGGUGGGAGGAUCCUCCGAU